GAUGAACGCUGGCGGUAUGCUUUACACAUGCAAGUCGUACGAGAGUUUUCAACUCAAGUGGCGGACGGGUGAGUAACACGUAAGAAUUUACCUUUAGGAGGGGGACAACAACUGGAAACGGUUGCUAAUACCCCAUAUGCUUUCGAGUGAAAUGGAUUUUCCGCCUAAAGAGAAGCUUGCGGCUGAUUAGCUUGUUGGUAAGGUAAUGGCUUACCAAGGCGACGAUCAGUAUCUGGUUUGAGAGGACGAUCAGACACACUGGAACUGAGACACGGUCCAGACUCCUACGGGAGGCAGCAGUGGGGAAUUUUCCGCAAUGGGCGAAAGCCUGACGGAGCAAUACCGCGUGAGGGAUGACGGCCUACGGGUUGUAAACCUCUUUUUCUAGGGAGGAAGAAAAUGACGUGUACCUGAAGAAUAAGCAUCGGCUAACUCCGUGCCAGCAGCCGCGGUAAGACGGAGGAUGCAAGUGUUAUCCGGAAUCACUGGGCGUAAAGCGUUUGUAGGUGGUCAAAUAAGUCAACUGUUAAAUCUUGAGGCUCAACCUCAAAAUCGCAGUCGAAACUA
Molecule: ribosomal RNA, 567 nt
Filed under: uncultured bacterium
Lineage: Bacteria
Description: bacterial SSU rRNA
Rfam family: Bacterial small subunit ribosomal RNA
Source: RNAcentral